RNAcentral lists this long non-coding RNA (2998 nucleotides) under Mus musculus (house mouse). Its description in RNAcentral is "long non-coding RNA chr11:117407710-117410708". Lineage: Eukaryota; Metazoa; Chordata; Mammalia; Rodentia; Muridae. The record is from RNAcentral.
AGAGGCGGGAGGCACAGGCAGAGCGCUGCUCAGAAGUCUGGCAGGCUAAUCCAGGGCUCAGGGCGAGCUUGUUCCGGCCCUAAUGAGACUCCCGGGCAUCAGCCAGGCCUGCUUUGUCUCUGGCGGAUGGGGAAGAGGGCGAGACCAACUUUAUUUCCGAAUCUGGAUUGACUCACAGAAGUAGCAUCGCGCUUGAAGGGCACCCCAUCUAUCUGUGGCCCUCGCUGCAUGAAAUUGUAUUGGCUCGCCACUUGCUAUCUGGCUGGGCGCAGCUGGGCCGUAAGUCAUCGGCGAUAACGUUCUUUAUUAUGCCGCCGUGUUUAUGAACUGUGCCUGCAAGGGAGAUGAUAGAAAUAUGCAGCCGUAUGCAAAGGCGGACGGGAGGGGGAGGGGGAGCAUAUGCUAGUUGCUAGGGCAACCAUGGGGCUAUUUUGGGCAUCGGAUUUUUUUUUUUUUUUUUCCUCUCCUGGUGAUAAAAACCAUUUUCUUGGGCUGGCUGGCCUCUCCCCUCCCCCUUCCUGAAUUGAAUAUUUAGGAAAGGAGUGGCUUAAUUUCUUAAUUAAACAUUAUGCUAUCCCCCCUCCCUUGCCUCCUUUCAAAAUGGACGGCAAAAUAGAAGGGUGUUGAUACGUGCUCUUGAGUAGAAGGGGAGGCAGCGUCCUGAUGGAGAGGUGUGAAUAAUUCACUAAUCUUUGCUGAUCCCCGCCGCCUCCCUCUCCACACACCCCCCCCCCUUUUCCCGCCACCGACUUAACUGUGAUAAACUCCCCCACUUCUAGACCUUAGCUUAUUCGCAGACGCUCCAGGUGUUUGUAAGCAAGAGGAAUGCGGAUGAACUCCGGAAGGGGGGAGGCGCCAGGAAGGGUACCAUCAUCCGUGGGCACCAGCAUCCCUGAGAAACAAAAGCCAGGGCGAUGAAGGGUACCCACCCUUCUCCUUCUCCUCCACCCUUGACUCAGAUUGCCCUGUGGGGGUGGGGGAGGGGAAACCUGAACUGAUUAACCUGGUCAACUCCUUGCCCAGCUCCAGCUGCCGGUGAGGCUGAUGGCUUUCUGGCUCUGGGUCUAUGUCAUCUCCCAUAGUAAGAAGGGUACCCAACUGGCAGUUGCAUGGGGACUUGGUGGCAGUGCAAAAUCAGGUGCCUGCUACACAGUGUGGGUCAGAAGCUGGAGCUGGGUUUGGACCGUUUCAGUGAAGUGCCUGAGGAAGGAUGAUGGCGCUGCGCACAUAGGGAUCCCACUGCCCGGACCCUCAGCAUCCUGUUACUCUAUGCUGUUAGAUCUCUGUCUUAGAGAUGUGGGUGCGCGGGAAGUUAACACAGCUGGGGGUGCAGCCUUCAAACGCUCCUCCCAGCCUCUACCCAUCCUUUGCCUGCUACCCACCUGCCUACCCCUGGCAUGUUCUGGGUGGGGAAGCAAAGGAAACGGGAUAUUGUGGUGCUCGGUACCAUGAUGAGGCUGGGGAUAGGUGUGCCCAUGAGUCCUUUUCCUUUUUGGUGUUCAGUUUUCCUAUUCUGUUUACCCUGCCCAGACAUUCCAUCUGGGACAGGUAAGAUGCUGGGGACAACCAGGCAACCCCUCCCCUGCCCCCUUGUCUACUCUGAUGUCAGAUCUAACACUUUCACCUGGGUCUGGAAGCAUCUUACAGGGCCCAGUGGGUUCUGGAAGAUUCCCUGGGUGUUGUAGUGGGUGGAACGGAAUCUACCUGCCUAUGGUACGCGCUUGCUGUGUGGUGGGAACGGACCUGUGCCAUCAAAGCACCGUCUCUGCCUUUAAAAGAUUUAUGUCUUACGCGUGGGUGUUUCGCUUGCCUGUUUGUGUGCAUGUGCACCACACACGUGCCUGGCUCCAGGGAGGUCAAAAGAGGACACCAGGCUGCUUGGAACUGAAGUUACAAAGCUUUGUCAGCCACCUGAGAUGGGUGCUGGGGCCCGAACCAGCUCCUCAGGAAGAGCAGUCAGUGCUCUUAACCACAGAGUCAUCUCUCCAGCCCCUACGCUUUGUUUAUAAAACAAACAUUUGAUUGCACAUUAUCCAAGGAAUAUCUAUGUGUAUAGAGGGGGGAAAAACCCCAGAAACUAUAGAAAAGCCUAGAAGAGCAAACUCAUUAUCUCUGCUUUUCUUUCCCUGCCUGGAAAGGAAAGAUGCUCUCUUUUCUGCCUUUUUAUUCUUGUUUAUUUUUACAAACUUGAAAUCACAUUGUAUCUUGCUCCCCCCUCCCCGCUCCCCCCACCCACCCCGCUCACACUGGAAUUCUAUUCCUUAAAUACCUCCCAACGUAUAUGUCUAUUUCCCUUUAGUGGCUGCAUCCCAGUGAGACAUUUUGCGUGUGAAUAAAUUAUUUUCCAUGUCUUUCUCAGGCUGUGCAAGUGGCAGCUUGUGAUUUCGGCACAAACGGAAGCCCUGCACUUGGAGCCUGCCAGGCAGGGGUGAGCUCCUUUGUCCGUGAGCUCCUUUGUCUUUGGAGCCUGCCUGGCACUGGAGCCAAGGCUGGGAUGAGGAGAAGUCGGUCAGUCAGCCAGCAGAGACUGAAGUUAGCUUCUGCCGUGGCAUUCAGGGAUAACAGACCAAAUGCUCCUCCUGCCCCAGGACAGCUGGCAGCAUUUGGCAUCGUGGGCUGUGUGUGUGUGGGGGGGGGAGUGGGGAGCAAGAGUAAAGCUUCCUGGGAAUUAAUUGAGCUGGAGCUGUCAGAGGAGCCAGUGGGCUGGGCUGGGCUUGGGUUCUGACCACCCAGAGCCAAUCUAGGCUGCUCUGAGAGCUGCCUUUUGCUUAGGGGGACCUGCAGGCAAUGUCCUUCCUGGUGCCAUGGAGAGAAACAGGGCUGGUGUGGAGUCCCAGGAGACAGUUGGGCUGUUUCUUUCCCUCUAAUUUGGGUCCACACACUUGUGCAAUAUGAAGAAUGUCAUGACAUCACCUGGUGGUUCCAAUGACACACUUAGCAGUUCAUUUUCCUUUGCUGACUACCCUUUCUUCUUUAGUAAAGAUUUUAUUGUUUUUUG